This is a long non-coding RNA of Helianthus annuus (common sunflower), 1637 nucleotides long. RefSeq lists it as uncharacterized. The transcript is spliced from 7 exons. The record is from RefSeq and is a predicted model, not a curated record. NCBI's taxonomy places the organism in Eukaryota, Viridiplantae, Streptophyta, Magnoliopsida, Asterales, Asteraceae.
CAAUUGUUUUUGGAAAGAUACCCCAAUCACGUUUCCAUUACUCCUAAAUUACAUAUUCUUCUUUGAUUAUCUUGAAAUGAAACCACCAUUCGCAAUCCAAUUUGUCAAACAAUUUCUACACGGAUGAACAAUUCGUUUCUAAACCCUAGGUAUCCCUUUCGUCUUCCUUCAGACCGGUUCAAGCAUCUGCAAUCAAAAUUAUUCAAGGAUCCUUUCCAACGCUCCCGUCAUCUUUCACAAUGAAAUCAAAUCUUUGAUCAAGUCUCCAAUUCCAGUGUUUCUCAUCCAGGUAACAAGCAAUUUUUGUGUUUUGAAAUAUUUAUGUUCAUCGUUUGUUUGUUAACAGAUCUAGGGUUUUUGCGUUGAAGUUUCUCCACCUCCCAUGUGUUUCCAGUUAUCUAUCUAUCUAUCUAUCUAUCCAUCUACCUCUACCUGAGAGCAUUCUUAGAAAUUUAAGGUAAUGAUGUUGGAUGACCGUAUAUAGAGCAUGAGGAUGCUUAUCUUUUUCAAGAUACCAUCUGACAAAGACUACUCUGAGUUUCAAUAUGAUUUAUUUUUAUUCUGUUGUGUGCUGAUAAGGUUCAACAUGGAUAGUUUUUACAUGUGUAUACAAGUCAUUUUUUUAAUGGAGAUAUAGACAACUGGAACUACAUACACUAAUUUAUUACUUUAUAAUCAGGUCUCAUUUCACUCUUUGAACCAACUAUGCAAGCUCGCUUUGCAUGUCUUAUGUCUAGCAAGUAUCUCGGACAUAGCUGCCUACUACAUGUGGUAUUACAUGUGUUCCAAAUGCCCAAAAAUGGUUUACCCCAAGAACAAUCAUUUUGUGUGUGCAGACCACGAUAUCAUACCUUAUCCCAAGUACAUGUAUUGUGUAAACGCCACGAUAAAUGACCACACUUCAGACGAUUAAGUGUAUUCUUAAGUGAGGCGAUGAUGACUUAAGUGAGGCGAUGAUGACUGAUAUUUCAAGCAUAAAUUGUACGCUGAUGAUGCACUUCUUAUUGAGCAUUGGUCUAUAAGAGGUUUGGCCGAUCUUCUUAGGAGUUGGUUAGAUGUGUGUAAAGCAUAAUUGCCUAAACAUUUUGGCAUAUAUAGAAGUACCGAAGGCCCUCUUGGAAGGCGAUUUAAGACUUUAAGUGGUGUGCCUCGUGACAGUCAAACUUAGUGUGAACUCAUAAAGAGGAGCUCAUCUUUUAAGAGGUGAGAUUCAAUAUGCGCAAGGUAACUAAAGGAAAUGUAACGAUAAAGUCGUGUGGAUCUUGGAGGGCAACCAUGAUUUUGAAGUGUGUGCGAGAGAUAUUGUUGUGCAGUUUCUGCUAUCAUGUAAAAUAUUUUCACGAAAAUACUUUUAUGAAAAAAAUUUACUUGUGAUUUGUGAAAAAUAGCUUCUCCCACGCGACCUCUUCUUCACCUUCCUAGAUUUAUCAAUGGGACGACGCUAUUCACCAGAUGCAGCCGGUUUCUCAUCACAAGCCCUAGCGAUUAAGGCAACAAAUGUGAUCAAUUUCAGCUUUCUUUUACUUUACAAAUGAUUUUAUCUUGAAAUACGGUGACUUAUUCAACUUAUUACAUGAUUAUCUUGAAAUACGGUAGACUUUCUCAACUUGAAUCAAAUUCAUAUGAAUCAAUUGUUA